RNAcentral lists this long non-coding RNA (368 nucleotides) under Sus scrofa (pig). RNAcentral describes it as "lncRNA (ENSSSCG00015032371.1, ENSSSCG00030053160.1, ENSSSCG00050062758.1, ENSSSCG00065000384.1)". The record is from RNAcentral. Lineage: Eukaryota; Metazoa; Chordata; Mammalia; Artiodactyla; Suidae.
GGAAACUGCAGCUGGACCUGGGGGAGGGGGGCUGAGGCGAUGUCCUGAGAGGCCCGGAAACUGGAAUUUUCCAUGAUGUGGGUAAAGGCUCUGUGUGACUCAGUAGAGUCUGGCACACAGUGUGUCAUUGGCCUCAGGGAAGAGCCCGGGACAGAGAGAAUCUGGGGCAGGGUCCUGGCAAGACAGCCCGCAUGUACAUCCCUUCCGGGGCCUCCCAUGUCCCGUACGGGUUGCCACGAGGACCAUGGGAACCGAGGAAGGGUAAGCAUCCGGGUAAGGGUAAGCAUCCGGGUCUGAUGUGUUUGCAGAAUGAGGGAGGGAGGCGAUGGGCACAACGGCGGAUAAGGGGGACCCAGAGGCAGACUCUG